UACGUAGGGCGCGAGCGUUGUCCGGAAUUAUUGGGCGUAAAGAGCUCGUAGGCGGUCUGUCACGUCGGAUGUGAAAGCCCGGGGCUUAACCCCGGGUCUGCAUUCGAUACGGGCAGACUAGAGUGUGGUAGGGGAGAUCGGAAUUCCUGGUGUAGCGGUGAAAUGCGCAGAUAUCAGGAGGAACACCGGUGGCGAAGGCGGAUCUCUGGGCCAUUACUGACGCUGAGGCACGAAGGUCAGGGGAGCAAACGGG
This 253-nucleotide ribosomal RNA is filed under the name uncultured bacterium. Its description in RNAcentral is "partial 16S ribosomal RNA". It matches the Rfam family "Bacterial small subunit ribosomal RNA", at positions 524 to 776 of the family's 1533-position model. The record is from RNAcentral.